Molecule: ribosomal RNA, 492 nt
Filed under: Celtis schippii
Lineage: Eukaryota; Viridiplantae; Streptophyta; Magnoliopsida; Rosales; Cannabaceae
Description: eukaryotic LSU rRNA
Rfam family: 5.8S ribosomal RNA (bases 56-209)
Source: RNAcentral
CGAGUCCAUUCUUAACGCACGGAUGUCUCCGGCGCGCAGUCGCCUCUGAAUACAAAAGUUUCAACAACGGAUCUCUUGGCUCUCGCACCGAUGAAGAACGCAGCGAAAUGCGAUAAGUAAUGUGAAUUGCAGAAUCCAGUGAAUCAUCGAAUCUUUGAACGCACCUUGCGCUCCUUGGUAUUCCUCGGAGCAUGCCUGUUUGAGUAUCAUGAAAUGCUCAGAGCCUCUGGGUCUUUUCGCCUAUGCCCUGGACUUUGGAGGCUUGCGGACGCGCGUCUGCGCCCGCUCCUCUCGAAAGCAUCAGCUGGAUCUCUGCGGCCUCUGGUUCUCCCGCUUGGCGUGAUAGACAUUUGCUGUUCGCCGACGCGAGUCUCGUCCCCGCCUCCCUGGGGACGRCUAGACGUCCGUGGAAGAGCCGCUUCRAACGGUCUGUUUGUCCAGACACUUUGACCCCUCGCGGAUCUGAUCUCAAAUCAGGUAGAUACCGUAAUA